GAUGCAACGCGAAGAACCUUACCUGGUCUUGACAUCCACGGAAGUUUUCAGAGAUGAGAAUGUGCCUUCGGGAACCGUGAGACAGGUGCUGCAUGGCUGUCGUCAGCUCGUGUUGUGAAAUGUUGGGUUAAGUCCCGCAACGAGCGCAACCCUUAUCCUUUGUUGCCAGCGGUCCGGCCGGGAACUCAAAGGAGACUGCCAGUGAUAAACUGGAGGAAGGUGGGGAUGACGUCAAGUCAUCAUGGCCCUUACGACCAGGGCUACACACGUGCUACAAUGGCGCAUACAAAGAGAAGCGACCUCGCGAGAGCAAGCGGACCUCAUAAAGUGCGUCGUAGUCCGGGUUGGAGUCUGCAACUCGACUCCAUGAAGUCGGAAUCGCUAGUAAUCGUGGAUCAGAAUGCCACGGUGAAUACGUUCCCGGGCCUUGUACACACCGCCCGUCACACCAUGGGAGUGGGUUGCAAAAGAAGUAGGUAGCUUA
Molecule: ribosomal RNA, 484 nt
Filed under: uncultured Escherichia sp.
Lineage: Bacteria; Pseudomonadati; Pseudomonadota; Gammaproteobacteria; Enterobacterales; Enterobacteriaceae
Description: bacterial SSU rRNA
Rfam family: Bacterial small subunit ribosomal RNA
Source: RNAcentral